RNAcentral lists this ribosomal RNA (1025 nucleotides) under Salmonella enterica subsp. enterica serovar Javiana. RNAcentral's name for it is "partial 23S ribosomal RNA". It matches the Rfam family "Bacterial large subunit ribosomal RNA", at positions 711 to 1735 of the family's 2925-position model. RNAcentral also lists the same sequence under 1 other name. The record is from RNAcentral. Lineage: Bacteria; Pseudomonadati; Pseudomonadota; Gammaproteobacteria; Enterobacterales; Enterobacteriaceae.
AGACCCGAAACCCGGUGAUCUAGCCAUGGGCAGGUUGAAGGUUGGGUAACACUAACUGGAGGACCGAACCGACUAAUGUUGAAAAAUUAGCGGAUGACCUGUGGCUGGGGGUGAAAGGCCAAUCAAACCGGGAGAUAGCUGGUUCUCCCCGAAAGCUAUUUAGGUAGCGCCUCGUGAAUUCAUCUCCGGGGGUAGAGCACUGUUUCGGCUAGGGGGCCAUCCCGGCUUACCAACCCGAUGCAAACUGCGAAUACCGGAGAAUGUUAUCACGGGAGACACACGGCGGGUGCUAACGUCCGUCGUGAAGAGGGAAACAACCCAGACCGCCAGCUAAGGUCCCAAAGUCAUGGUUAAGUGGGAAACGAUGUGGGAAGGCCCAGACAGCCAGGAUGUUGGCUUAGAAGCAGCCAUCAUUUAAAGAAAGCGUAAUAGCUCACUGGUCGAGUCGGCCUGCGCGGAAGAUGUAACGGGGCUAAACCAUGCACCGAAGCUGCGGCAGCGACACUCAGGUGUUGUUGGGUAGGGGAGCGUUCUGUAAGCCUGUGAAGGUGGCCUGUGAGGGUUGCUGGAGGUAUCAGAAGUGCGAAUGCUGACAUAAGUAACGAUAAAGCGGGUGAAAAGCCCGCUCGCCGGAAGACCAAGGGUUCCUGUCCAACGUUAAUCGGGGCAGGGUGAGUCGACCCCUAAGGCGAGGCCGAAAGGCGUAGUCGAUGGGAAACGGGUUAAUAUUCCCGUACUUGGUGUUACUGCGAAGGGGGGACGGAGAAGGCUAUGUUGGCCGGGCGACGGUUGUCCCGGUUUAAGCGUGUAGGCUGGUUUUCCAGGCAAAUCCGGAAAAUCAAGGCUGAGGCGUGACGACGAGGCACUACGGUGCUGAAGCAACAAAUGCCCUGCUUCCAGGAAAAGCCUCUAAGCAUCAGGUAACAUCAAAUCGUACCCCAAACCGACACAGGUGGUCAGGUAGAGAAUACCAAGGCGCUUGAGAGAACUCGGGUGAAGGAACUAGGCAAAAUGGUGCCGUAACU